CAGAGAAUAGUUUAAAGAAAAUAUUAGUUUUGGGGACUGAAGAAGGGGUGUAUGCUUUUUCUCUGA
This 66-nucleotide transfer RNA is filed under the name Ephemera serica. RNAcentral describes it as "tRNA-Pro". Lineage: Eukaryota; Metazoa; Arthropoda; Insecta; Ephemeroptera; Ephemeridae. The record is from RNAcentral.